UAAUACAAUAAUAAAAAUAUAAACAAACAACUUCCAAAGACCAUUUCCACCCAAAGCUGAAUGAUGUGUGAAUGGUAAAUAUUUAUUACGUUUAUUACAUAACAUUUUCUAAUCAAAACAUCAUUGUCCUCUCUCUAAGUGAAGGUGUAUUUGUGAUGAGACAGGUGGAUGUCAUCUCUCUGAGUGAAGGUGUAUUUGUGAUGAGACAGGUUGAUGUCAUCACUCUGAGUGAUGAUGUGUUUGAUGAGACAGGUGGAUGUCAUCUUCAUCACUUGAUAUAAGACAGAGACAUGACUCUCAGUUCCAUACAAAACUUUAUUUACAUCAUCAAUGUAUGUAAUGUGUGACUAUACCAUUUCGAUUUCCCACCUGGGUAUCAAUAAAGUUCAAUUAAAAUCUC
This is a long non-coding RNA of Coregonus clupeaformis (lake whitefish), 400 nucleotides long. RefSeq lists it as uncharacterized. Lineage: Eukaryota; Metazoa; Chordata; Actinopteri; Salmoniformes; Salmonidae. The transcript is spliced from 2 exons. The record is from RefSeq and is a predicted model, not a curated record.